GAUGAACGCUAGCUACAGGCUUAACACAUGCAAGUCGAGGGGCAUCAGGAAGAAAGCUUGCUUUCUUUGCUGGCGACCGGCGCACGGGUGAGUAACGCGUGGGUAACCUGCCUCAUACAGGGGGAUAACAGUUAGAAAUGACUGCUAAUACCGCAUAAGACCACAGCACCGCAUGGUGCAGGGGUAAAACUCCGGUGGUAUGAGAUGGACCCGCGUCUGAUUAGGUAGUUGGUGGGGUAACGGCCUACCAAGCCGACGAUCAGUAGCCGACCUGAGAGGGUGACCGGCCACAUUGGGACUGAGACACGGCUCAA
Molecule: ribosomal RNA, 314 nt
Filed under: uncultured bacterium
Lineage: Bacteria
Description: bacterial SSU rRNA
Rfam family: Bacterial small subunit ribosomal RNA
Source: RNAcentral